AAGAGAUUAGUUUAAUAAAAAUAUUAAUCUGUCAGAUUCAAGAUGUAAUUGUUACAUUUCUUU
RNAcentral lists this transfer RNA (63 nucleotides) under Mogannia minuta. RNAcentral's name for it is "tRNA-Asp". Lineage: Eukaryota; Metazoa; Arthropoda; Insecta; Hemiptera; Cicadidae. The record is from RNAcentral.